GGGGAUUUAGCUCAGUGGUAGAGCGCUUGCUUAGCGAGCGCAAGGCCCUGGGUUCGGUCCCCAGCUCCG
This is a non-coding RNA of Rattus norvegicus (Norway rat), 69 nucleotides long. The record is from Rfam. Lineage: Eukaryota; Metazoa; Chordata; Mammalia; Rodentia; Muridae.